UGGUUUUUCAGACACAGAACUGUGAUGUUUGGGGACAGCUGGUGUCCUUAGACCAAAGCCAGCCUAUGUUUGUUGCUUCCAUGUAAGCCUAUAGACUGAGCCAGCCUGGAUGGCAGAGAGGCUAAACUUGGAGAGUAGAAGCUUGUUCCUAAUGAGCUGAGAACAGUAGGACUUGUCAAGAGGGAUUAUUUCAGUGAAGAAUGGAAGUCAGCUUUCAAGGGAG
This 223-nucleotide long non-coding RNA is filed under the name Calidris pugnax (ruff). RNAcentral's name for it is "lncRNA (ENSCPUG00000012004.1)". Lineage: Eukaryota; Metazoa; Chordata; Aves; Charadriiformes; Scolopacidae. The record is from RNAcentral.